This 465-nucleotide ribosomal RNA is filed under the name uncultured bacterium. RNAcentral describes it as "bacterial SSU rRNA". It matches the Rfam family "Bacterial small subunit ribosomal RNA", at positions 338 to 795 of the family's 1533-position model. The record is from RNAcentral.
CCUACGGGGGGCUGCAGUGGGGAAUAUUGGACAAUGGGGGCAACCCUGAUCCAGCCAUGCCGCGUGUGUGAAGAAGGCCUUCGGGUUGUAAAGCACUUUCAGUGAGGAAGAAGGCCUGCGGGUUAAUAGCCGGCAGGAAGGACAUCACUCACAGAAGAAGCACCGGCUAACUCCGUGCCAGCAGCCGCGGUAAUACGGAGGGUGCGAGCGUUAAUCGGAAUUACUGGGCGUAAAGCGCGCGUAGGUGGCUUGAUAAGCCGGUUGUGAAAGCCCCGGGCUCAACCUGGGAACGGCAUCCGGAACUGUCAGGCUAGAGUGCAGGAGAGGAAGGUAGAAUUCCCGGUGUAGCGGUGAAAUGCGUAGAGAUCGGGAGGAAUACCAGUGGCGAAGGCGGCCUUCUGGACUGACACUGACACUGAGGUGCGAAAGCGUGGGUAGCAAACAGGAUUAGAUACCCAAGUAGUC